This 596-nucleotide long non-coding RNA is filed under the name Mytilus galloprovincialis (Mediterranean mussel). The record is from RNAcentral. Lineage: Eukaryota; Metazoa; Mollusca; Bivalvia; Mytilida; Mytilidae.
GUUCAAUGCAGUAAUAAUAUCAAGUCAAAAACGAAAGUAGAAUUCUCAGUUCAAUUCAUAGAAAUAAACAAUUACAGUUCGUAUUUGUUGAAUAAACGUGGAAUCCAAGUUAACGGAAUUAACGGUAUAUAUAUUUAACAGUUUAUAAUUGAUUUGAAACGUACUUGACGGUGAUUUGUCACAAUAUCCACAGGAGUCGUUUUGUCGUGGCAUCCAUUUGCAAUAGACAGGUGAGGAAGAGAAAGUAAGCACUAGUGAAAAUACGGACAAGUCCAGAUUAUUUCCGGAAAAUAUGGAUGUCUGAAAAUUUAAUCCAAUAGACUAUACAGUUAAUAUAAUUGCGAAAGUGAAUCAGAAUACUCCCCGUCUGAAAUCUACCUGAUAUCACUAUUCCAUAACACAUAUGAAUGUCACUAUAUGAAUCCAAAAAUAUAUACAUAUAAUUACACAGGGUUGUUCUCUAUGAGAAGAAUCAUGUCCACGAUAGGGCGUGUGUAGGUUGUGGCUUUUCCAUUAACGAUUACUCGCACUUCUGCUUUUCGGACAUGUUCGUCUGAGCUUUUUAAUGAGUUCACUAUAAUUCCAACGGGCCAUUG